Molecule: ribosomal RNA, 800 nt
Filed under: uncultured rumen bacterium
Lineage: Bacteria
Description: bacterial SSU rRNA
Rfam family: Bacterial small subunit ribosomal RNA
Source: RNAcentral
UUGCUUUCGAUAGGCGUCGACCGGCGCACGGGUGAGUAACGCGUAUCCAACCUGCCCAUAACUAAGGGAUAAUCCGUAGAAAUGCGGUCUAAUACCUUAUGUGAUCCGAGGAAGACAUCUGAUUUGGAUUAAAGACUUAUCGGUUAUGGAUGGGGAUGCGUCUGAUUAGAUUGUUGGCGGGGCAACGGCCCACCAAGUCUGCGAUCAGUAGGGGUUCUGAGAGGAAGGUCCCCCACAUUGGAACUGAGACACGGUCCAAACUCCUACGGGAGGCAGCAGUGAGGAAUAUUGGUCAAUGGGCGGGAGCCUGAACCAGCCAAGUAGCGUGCAGGAUGACGGCCCUAUGGGUUGUAAACUGCUUUUGUAUGGGGAUAAAUUGCUCCACGUGUGGAGUAUUGCAGGUACCAUACGAAUAAGGACCGGCUAAUUCCGUGCCAGCAGCCGCGGUAAUACGGAAGGUCCGGGCGUUAUCCGGAUUUAUUGGGUUUAAAGGGAGCGUAGGCCGUGGAUUAAGUGUGUUGUGAAAUGUAGGCGCUCAACGUCUGACUUGCAGCGCAUACUGGUCCACUUGAGUGCGCGCAACGCGGGCGGAAUUUGUCGUGUAGCGGUGAAAUGCUUAGAUAUGACGAAGAACCCCGAUUGCGAAGGCAGCUCGCGGGAGCGCAACUGACGCUGAAGCUCGAAAGUGCGGGUAUCGAACAGGAUUAGAUACCCUGGUAGUCCGCACGGUAAACGAUGGAUGCCCGCUUUUCGGUCAUUAGACCGUGAGGCCAAGUGAAAACAUUAAGCAUCCCACCUGG